GCAGGUGUAGCACAAUGGUUAGUGUGAGAGCCUUCCAAGCUCAGGAUGAGAGUUCGAUUCUCUUCACCUGCU
RNAcentral lists this transfer RNA (72 nucleotides) under Crassvirales sp. RNAcentral's name for it is "tRNA-Gly". It matches the Rfam family "tRNA". From Rfam's summary of the family: Transfer RNA (tRNA) molecules are approximately 80 nucleotides in length. Their secondary structure includes four short double-helical elements and three loops (D, anti-codon, and T loops). Lineage: Duplodnaviria; Heunggongvirae; Uroviricota; Caudoviricetes; Crassvirales. The record is from RNAcentral.